This 699-nucleotide ribosomal RNA is filed under the name Acinetobacter baumannii OIFC143. RNAcentral's name for it is "bacterial SSU rRNA". It matches the Rfam family "Bacterial small subunit ribosomal RNA", at positions 140 to 833 of the family's 1533-position model. The record is from RNAcentral. Lineage: Bacteria; Pseudomonadati; Pseudomonadota; Gammaproteobacteria; Moraxellales; Moraxellaceae.
GGGACAACAUCUCGAAAGGGAUGCUAAUACCGCAUACGUCCUACGGGAGAAAGCAGGGGAUCUUCGGACCUUGCGCUAAUAGAUGAGCCUAAGUCGGAUUAGCUAGUUGGUGGGGUAAAGGCCUACCAAGGCGACGAUCUGUAGCGGGUCUGAGAGGAUGAUCCGCCACACUGGGACUGAGACACGGCCCAGACUCCUACGGGAGGCAGCAGUGGGGAAUAUUGGACAAUGGGGGGAACCCUGAUCCAGCCAUGCCGCGUGUGUGAAGAAGGCCUUAUGGUUGUAAAGCACUUUAAGCGAGGAGGAGGCUACUUUAGUUAAUACCUAGAGAUAGUGGACGUUACUCGCAGAAUAAGCACCGGCUAACUCUGUGCCAGCAGCCGCGGUAAUACAGAGGGUGCGAGCGUUAAUCGGAUUUACUGGGCGUAAAGCGUGCGUAGGCGGCUUAUUAAGUCGGAUGUGAAAUCCCCGAGCUUAACUUGGGAAUUGCAUUCGAUACUGGUGAGCUAGAGUAUGGGAGAGGAUGGUAGAAUUCCAGGUGUAGCGGUGAAAUGCGUAGAGAUCUGGAGGAAUACCGAUGGCGAAGGCAGCCAUCUGGCCUAAUACUGACGCUGAGGUACGAAAGCAUGGGGAGCAAACAGGAUUAGAUACCCUGGUAGUCCAUGCCGUAAACGAUGUCUACUAGCCGUUGGGGCCUUU